AAGACUGGCCUCCCCAAGCAAGAGGGAAUUCUGCAGCAACAUCAGCUCUCUUAUCUCUCCAGCCUGCUGCUCACCCUAUAGAUUUUGGAUUUGCCAGCCUCCAUAAUCAUUUCUGACUAGAGAAGAACUAUGGUCAAGACAUUCAAAGCUGUGCCUGCUUACUCCUAAUGAAGAGGAUCCUGGGCCUCAUCUCUUUAUAAGAAGGGGUGUUUUCUAGAAGUUAAAAUUUCCCCUCCUUAGUUGAUUAAUAUAUUUCCAAGUAUAUCAAAAGGACUUGGAAUUGGUUUUAAAAAUUUCAAGCUUAGGAAACCCUUUGAAAAGCAGAUUUUAAGACAGGAUUAGAUUUGCAGGAGAUUUACUGAGGGAAAUGCCUGUGAAGAAUAAACAGAGGUAGCAGAAGUAGGCAAGGAGACCCUUUAGAUACUGAUGCAGGUCUGACACCUGUGAAAGGAGUGGAGUGGGGAAGGAAUAUCCAUCAAGAAGAGUCUCAACUCAGCACAGCUCUGAGAAAAUUUCAGGCAAGCUAAUGGGGAGUCCCUGAGUCAAAAUUACCCAUAAGAGGGGUCCUGCAUCCCACAGAAAUUAUCCAGCAUUCAUGUGGAAAUGUGACUCUGAAUAACCAAAACUGUCUUGAAAAAAAAAAAAAGUUGGAGGACUCACUCUUCCCAAUUUCAAAACUCAUCACAAAGCUACAGUUCAAUGGGGGAAAGAAUAGCCUUCUUAAAAAAAUGGUUCAGGAACAGAUGGAUACCCAUACCAAAGAAUGAAAUUGGACCUCUGCCUCAUACCAUAUAUAUAAAAAUGUACUCAAAAUGGAUUACAGUGCAGAAUGUAAGAGCUAAAACUAUAUACAUCACUGUAAAUAUGUUAUGAUCUUGGGUUAGAGAAAGGUUACUUAGAUAUGACACAAAGUACAAGGGAAAAAAAGAAAAUUGGACUGCAUCAAAAUUUUAAACAUUUCAGUUUU
Molecule: long non-coding RNA, 967 nt
Organism: Myotis brandtii (Brandt's bat)
Lineage: Eukaryota; Metazoa; Chordata; Mammalia; Chiroptera; Vespertilionidae
Exons: 2
Source: RefSeq, a predicted model, not a curated record